UGUCUUUUAGAAAUUAAUUUAAAGUCUAGCCUGCCCACUGAAUUUUUUUUUAAAUGGCCGCAGUAUCCUAACUGUGCAAAGGUAGCAUAAUCAUUAGUCUUUUAAUUGAAGGCUGGAAUGAAUGGUUGGAUGAAAUAUUAACUGUUUCAUAAAAAUUUAUAAUAAAAUUUUAUUUUUUAGUCAAAAAGCUAAAAUUUAAUUAAAAGACGAGAAGACCCUAUAAAUCUUUAUAUUUAUAAAAUUAUAAUUAUUUAGAUAAUUUUAAUUUUAAUUUUUUCAAAUAUUUUAUUGGGGUGAUAUUAAAAUUUAAUAAACUUUUAAUUUAUAUUUAACAUAAAUUAAUGAAUUAUUGAUCCAUAAAUUAUGAUUAAAAAAUUAAGUUACUUUAGGGAUAACAGCGUAAUUUUUUUAGAGAGUUCAUAUUGAUAAAAAAGAUUGCGACCUCGAUGUUGGAUUAAGAUACAGUUUUAGGUGCAGCAGCUUAAACUUA
This 490-nucleotide ribosomal RNA is filed under the name Myriophora heratyi. RNAcentral describes it as "partial 16S ribosomal RNA". Lineage: Eukaryota; Metazoa; Arthropoda; Insecta; Diptera; Phoridae. The record is from RNAcentral.